This 336-nucleotide ribosomal RNA is filed under the name Triticum aestivum (bread wheat). Its description in RNAcentral is "partial small subunit ribosomal RNA". The record is from RNAcentral. Lineage: Eukaryota; Viridiplantae; Streptophyta; Magnoliopsida; Poales; Poaceae.
AUGGCAGAAGUUUCAGCCCUGAAAUUUGGCUUAACUUUGGCACAAAGGGCGGGAUGUAACCGCCUAAUUAUCAACUCCGACAAUAUGAAGGUCAUUGAGACCAUGCAGGACGGAGGACAAUCAGCGGGAGCGGCGGCGGCUAUAUUUGACGACUGUUUUUACUAUGCAUGUGAUUUAGUAACUAGAUUUGAGCAUUGUAAUAGAGAGGCAAACAAAGUAGCUAAUGAACUCGCUAGAUUAGCUAGAUUUUCCGUGACUUCGGACUGGUUUGAGGAGUCUAUCAAUGAAAUUGUAACGAUCCUCACAAAUGAUGUACUGAUUAUUUCUAAUGAAUAA